Molecule: ribosomal RNA, 497 nt
Filed under: uncultured bacterium
Lineage: Bacteria
Description: partial 16S ribosomal RNA
Rfam family: Bacterial small subunit ribosomal RNA
Source: RNAcentral
GACGAACGCUGGCGGCGUGCCUAAUACAUGCAAGUCGAACGAAAAGGCCCGGAGCUUGCUCCUUUCACGUUAGCGGCGCACGGGUGAGUAACACGUGUAUAACCUCCCUAUCAGACUGGGAUCACUUCGGGAAACGGGCGCUAAUACCGGAUAAUAUCUUGAACCGCAUGGUUCAAUGGUGAAAGACGGUUUUGGUGUCUCUUCUCGAUGGAUCCGCGCCGGAUUAGCUAGUUGGUGAGGUAACGGCUUAUCAAGGCAAGGAUGCGUAGCCGAACUGAGAGGGGGGUAGGCCACACGGGAGCUGAGACACGGACCAGAGGCCUACGGGAGGCAGCAGUAGGGAAUCUUCCGCAAUGGUCGAAAGCCUGACGGAGCAACGCCGCGUGAGUGAUGAAGGUCUUCGGAGCGUAAAACUCUGUUAUUAGGGAAGAACAACUGUGGAAGUAACUGUGCACGGCUUGACGGUACCUAAUCAGAAAGCCACGGCUAACUACGUG